RNAcentral lists this non-coding RNA (416 nucleotides) under Leclercia adecarboxylata. Lineage: Bacteria; Pseudomonadati; Pseudomonadota; Gammaproteobacteria; Enterobacterales; Enterobacteriaceae. The record is from RNAcentral.
AGAUUGUUAAUGGUGCUGUUCAGCGGCUUAAUAAAUAAGCUGUUAUUUUUCAGCCUGACGUCGCCUUCGGCGGUGGUCAUGGUACCGUCCAGCGGGAUAUCCAGAUGUAAGCGAGCAUUCACAUCACCAUCCAACUGGAGCUGCUUAAGGGUGGCACCCAGUGAAUCAUCCAGCGGCGUCUCGUCAAAGUACGGCCCAACGGCUUUUCCUGGCCCGUUGAUAUCGGCGUCGAUCAGCAGUUUUUCUUUCGAAUAGUCCGGGAUCACCGCGGUCAGGUUACUGGCCUUCACCCCGCCCAGCGCGACGCCGUCGGUCUUCAUCCAUAACCCGUCAUUGAUAAAGUUAAGCUCAAUAUCGAGGUUUUUCAGGGCUGGCCAGUCAGGCUGGAAGGCAUAGGUGGCGUUGCGUAACGGCAC